UUGGAGGGCAAGUCUGGUGCCAGCAGCCGCGGUAAUUCCAGCUCCAAUAGCGUAUAUUAAAGUUGUUGCAGUUAAAAAGCUCGUAGUUGAAUUUCGAGAUCAAUUUGUCGGUCGUGCCUCGGUACGUACUGGCAUUAUUGAUUUCUCCCUUCUGAAGAACCGCGAUGUCAUUAAUUUGGUGUCGUGGGGAAUCAGGACUGUUACUUUGAAAAAAUUAGAGUGUUUAAAGCAGGCGCACGCUUGAAUACAUUAGCAUGGAAUAAUGAAACAGGACGUUUGAUUCUAUUUUGUUGGUUUCUAGGAUCGACGUAAUGAUUAAUAGGGAUAGUUGGGGGCAUUAGUAUUCAAUUGUCAGAGGUGAAAUUCUUGGAUUUAUUGAAGACUAACUACUGCGAAAGCAUUUGCCAAGGAUGUUUUCAUUAAUCAAGAACGAAAGUUAGGGGAUCGAAGACGAUCAGAUACCGUCGUAGUCUUAACCAUAAACUAUGCCGACUAGGGAUCGGAUGAUGUUAAUUUUUUAAUGACUCAUUCGGCGCCUUACGGGAAAC
RNAcentral lists this ribosomal RNA (548 nucleotides) under uncultured Glomeromycotina. RNAcentral describes it as "SSU rRNA". It matches the Rfam family "Eukaryotic small subunit ribosomal RNA", at positions 548 to 1098 of the family's 1831-position model. The record is from RNAcentral. Lineage: Eukaryota; Fungi; Glomeromycota.